GGACAGAAAGACCCUAUGAAGCUUUACUGUAGCCUGGAAUUGAAUUUGGGUUUAAUUUGCGCAGUAUAGGUGGGAGGCAAAGAAGAUAUGUUUGUGGAUGUAUCUGAGCCACUAGUGAGAUACCACUCUGAUUAAACUAGAAUUCUAAUAUUGAUUGCCAUAAGCUGGCCAAUAGACAGUUUCAGGUGGGCAGUUUGACUGGGGCGGUCGCCUCCUAAAAGGUAACGGAGGCGUGCAAAGGUUUCCUCAGGCUGGUCGGAAAUCAGUCGUAGAGUAUAAAGGCAUAAGGAAGCUUGACUGCGAGACCUACAAGUCGAGCAGAGACGAAAGUCGGCCUUAGUGAUCCGACAGUACUGAGUGGAAAGGCUGUCGCUCAACGGAUAAAAGUUACCUCUAGGGAUAACAGGCUGA
Molecule: ribosomal RNA, 411 nt
Filed under: Gracilaria isabellana
Lineage: Eukaryota; Rhodophyta; Florideophyceae; Gracilariales; Gracilariaceae
Description: bacterial LSU rRNA
Rfam family: Bacterial large subunit ribosomal RNA
Source: RNAcentral